GAUGAACGCUGGCGGCGUGCCUAAUACAUGCAAGUCGAGCGAACAGACGAGGAGCUUGCUCCUCUGACGUUAGCGGCGGACGGGUGAGUAACACGUGGAUAACCUACCUAUAAGACUGGGAUAACUUCGGGAAACCGGAGCUAAUACCGGAUAAUAUAUUGAACCGCAUGGUUCAAUAGUGAAAGACGGUUUUGCUGUCACUUAUAGAUGGAUCCGCGCCGCAUUAGCUAGUUGGUAAGGUAACGGCUUACCAAGGCAACGAUGCGUAGCCGACCUGAGAGGGGGAGCGGCCACACUGGAACGGAGACACGGUCCAGACUCCUACGGGAGGCAGCAGAAGGGAAUCGUCCGCAAUGGGCGAAAGCCUGACGGAGCAACGCCGCGUGAGGGAUGAAGGUCUUCGGAUCGUAAAACUCUGUUAUUAGGGAAGAACAAAUGUGUAAGUAACUAUGCACGUCUUGACGGUACCUAAUCAGAAAGCCACGGCUAACUACGUG
RNAcentral lists this ribosomal RNA (497 nucleotides) under uncultured bacterium. RNAcentral describes it as "partial 16S ribosomal RNA". It matches the Rfam family "Bacterial small subunit ribosomal RNA", at positions 28 to 507 of the family's 1533-position model. The record is from RNAcentral.